AGCCGCUCUCGUAUAGGACUCUGACCGGUGGCGGUGACCGCACGUUUACCAGGUACUUUUAUUUUGAUUGCCCCCGGAAAAACGCGCGCAAUUUUCGGCGCAUCCCACGCCGCAAGUUCGACAAACUCGAUAAGCUCGUUACGAGUCGGCGGAGGAGAGUCGCGGCCUACGACAGCAUGUCCGGUUCCAACGCGCGCUGAUCCGCGCCAACCGUGCCAUCAACCGGGCCGGUUGAUACCAGGGCGAAGAAGAGUCGGC
Cinara cedri is the source of this 258-nucleotide non-coding RNA. The record is from the annotation of a GenBank genome assembly. Lineage: Eukaryota; Metazoa; Arthropoda; Insecta; Hemiptera; Aphididae.